RNAcentral lists this long non-coding RNA (2304 nucleotides) under Macaca mulatta (Rhesus monkey). RNAcentral's name for it is "lncRNA (ENSMMUG00000057691.1)". Lineage: Eukaryota; Metazoa; Chordata; Mammalia; Primates; Cercopithecidae. The record is from RNAcentral.
GGCUCGGGAGCUGAGCGAGAGAAGUGGAGGGCAGGGCAACCCAUGCCGGCUGCCACAGCACCCCCUGUAGGGCCGAAUGAGCGGCGUCCGUCCCGCGGCACUCGGGUGAACCGCAGCUUCCUUCAACAAAGAUUAAGCGACUGCGAUAGGCGCUGCAGAUACGAGGAAGGAGGCGACAGGGCCUAGCUGUCACACAGCUUGGUGAAGAAGCCAGGAGACAUAAACACAAGAGUGUAACGGAAAACUUUAUAUGAUAAACAUUUAUGUCGGGUUAGUGAAGCGCAAAGGAAGAACGAUCACUUGUGGGUGGGCGGAGGCUCACAGAAGCGGCGCAAGCUCAACAGGUGGGCAAGGAAGAGCAGAAUGCGUAGACCCAUUUUAGAUCUGCAGUGUAUGUCAGAUGACUGGUGUUUAGGAGAUGAGGAAGAAGCCAUAUAAUCACUUAUGCAAGGAUAAGAAAUCUGAUCCUCCAAGCAGGAGGAUCGCUUGAGCCCAGGAGUUCGAGGCUGCAGUGAGCCAUGAUCGCGCUACGCACCCAGCUUGGGCAUCAGAGCAAGACACUGUCGCAAAAGUGAAAACAAAAUAAAGAAGAUGGCCUGAAGGGGACACCAGAGCCCUUUCUAUCUCUUUUUCAGAAAAAUCCCAAGGAACAAUUGUUUUGGAUUACUUAGUGGACUCAGCGUGGAAACUGCUUGUGUGGCCCAGCUAGGUAGGGGCGUUCAGACAAGGAGACCUGACCUGGAGCUUCUGGGAUGAUUCCAAGGGCAUCUGUGCAGGUGUCUGCAUAUUAGCAGCACCAUCUGCUUGGUUGUCUCUCAAAGGAAGAAGAAUCCUGGCCUGAUGAACUCCUCAAGCUCUCUUCUUUGGGAAAUAGGAAGAUCACAAUUUGAAAUCUUAAUCCAAGAUUGAAAGUUGGUUGCCAUCUUUGCAAUGCCUCCCAGCUGAUGCUUCAACAGGCUACUCCACCAUUCUCUCAGACUGGGUAGUAUGAUAUUGUUACUGAAACACCAGAGGUUUGGUCUACGUCCUGCUGCUCGCUGCACAGAAAGCCAAUGACAGAGACAACGAGUAUUACCAAGGAAUAAGCAAAAAAGAAGAAGGAAGAAGAAGGAGUCGUGCUAUAGCCUUCUGUAGCUACAGAUCGGGUGCUACAGCCGAGGAGAUGGGAGCUUAGUCUCAAAUCCAUCUCCCUGCUGUACUAAAACUAGAGGUUUAUAUAGCAGGGAAGAAGUGUAACAAUGUAUAACAAAAUAGGAACUAGGGAGGGGCAAGGAAGCAAUCAUGAUGAAUGAGGGGUCCAGCAUCUCAUUGUCCAUUGUCUGGAUGUGGUGAUUUUUUAUUUUAUUUUUUUUGAGACAGAGUCUUGCUCUGUCACCCAGGCUGGAGUGCAGUGGUGCCAUCUCAGUUCACAGUUCACUGUAACCGCUGCCUCCUGGGUUCAAGCGGUUCUCCUGCCUCAGCCUCCCAAGUAGCAGGGAUUACAGGCACAAACCACCAUGCCUGUUUUUUUUGUAUUUUUAUUUAUUUUAUUUUAUUUUUUUGAGACAGAGUCUUGCUUUGUCGCCCAGGCUGGAGUGCAGUGGCGCCAUCUUGGCUCUCUGCAACUUUUGCCUCCUGGGUUCAAGCAAUUCUCCUUCUCAGCCUCCUGGGUAGCUGGGAUUACAGGCGCCCACCACCACGCCCAGCUAAUUUUUUGGUAGUUUUAGUAGAGACGGGGUUUCACCAUCUUGGCCAGGCUGGCUGGUCUUGAACUCUUGACCUUGUGAUCUGCCCGCCUUGGCCUCCCAAAGUGCUGGUGAAAGGUGAAGCCGGCUGGGCUUCUGGGUCAUUUGGGGACUUGGAGAAUUUUCUGUCUAGCUAAAGGAUUGUAAAUGCGCCAAUCAGCGCUCUGUGUCUAGCUAAAGGUUUGUAAAUGCACCAAUCAGUGCUCUGUGUCUGGCUAAUGGGGUAGGGGACUUGGAGAACUUUUCUGUCCAGCUGAAGGAUUGUAAAUGCACCAAUCAGCACUCUGUGUCUAGGUUUGUAAAGGCUGCACCAGUCAGUGCUCUGUGUCUAGCUAAUCAGGUGGGGACUUGGAGAACUCCUGUGUCUAACUAAAGGAUUGUAAAUGCACCAAUCAGCACUCUGUGUCUAACUAAAGGAUUUUAAACGCACUCUAUAAAAUGGACCAAUCAGCAGGAUGUGGGUGGGGCCAAAAAGGGAAUAAAAGCAGGCCACCUAGGGAGCAGCGGAAACCCGCCAGGGUCCCCUUCCCUAUUGUGGGAGCUUUGUUCUUUUGCUGUUUGCAAUAAAUCUUGCUGCUGC